RNAcentral lists this transfer RNA (75 nucleotides) under Candidatus Wildermuthbacteria bacterium RIFCSPHIGHO2_02_FULL_49_17. RNAcentral describes it as "tRNA-Arg". It matches the Rfam family "tRNA". Rfam says of the family: Transfer RNA (tRNA) molecules are approximately 80 nucleotides in length. Their secondary structure includes four short double-helical elements and three loops (D, anti-codon, and T loops). RNAcentral also lists the same sequence under 4 other names. Lineage: Bacteria; Candidatus Wildermuthiibacteriota. The record is from RNAcentral.
GUCCCCAUAGCUCAACGGAUAGAGUGUGGCCCUGCGGAGGCCAAGAUGGAGGUUCGAUUCCUCCUGGGGACACCG